This 1294-nucleotide ribosomal RNA is filed under the name uncultured organism. RNAcentral's name for it is "SSU rRNA". It matches the Rfam family "Bacterial small subunit ribosomal RNA", at positions 173 to 1483 of the family's 1533-position model. The record is from RNAcentral.
GCAUCAUGAGUCCACAUGUUCACAUGAUUAAAGGUAUUCCGGUAGACGAGGGGGAUGCGUUCCAUUAGAUAGUAGGCGGGCCAACGGCCCACCAAGUCUUCGAGGGAUAGGGGUUCUGAGAGGAAGGUCCCCCACAUGGGAACUGAGACACGGUCCAAACUCCUACGGGAGGCAGCAGGGAGGAAUAUGGGUCAAUGGGCGAGAGCCUGAACCAGCCAAGUAGCGUGAAGGAUGACUGCCGGAUGGGUUGUAAACUUCUUUUAUAAAGGAAUAAAGUCGGGUAUGCAUACCCGUUUGCAUGUACUUUAUGAAUAAGGAUCGGCUAACUCCGUGCCAGCAGCCGCGGUAAUACGGAGGAUCCGAGCGUUAUCCGGAUUUAUUGGGUUUAAAGGGAGCGUAGAUGGAUGUUUAAGUCAGGUGUGAAAGUUUGCGGCUCAACCGUAAAAUUGCAGAUGAUACUGGAUAUCUUGAGUGCAGUUGAGGCAGGCGGAAUUCGUGGUGUAGCGGUGAAAUGUUUAGAUAUCACGAAGAACUCCGAUUGCGAAGGCAGCCUGCUAAGCUGCAACUGACAUUGAGGCUCGAAAGUGUGGGUAUCAAACAGGAUUAGAUACCCUGGUAGUCCACACGGUAAACGAUGAAUACUCGCUGCUUGCGAUAUACUGCAAGCGGCCAAGCGAAAGCGUUAAGUAUUCCACCUGGGGAGUACGCCGGCAACGGUGAAACUCAAAGGAAUUGACGGGGGCCCGCACAAGCGGAGGAACAUGUGGUUUAAUUCGAUGAUACGCGAGGAACCUUACCCGGGCUUAAAUUGCAGAUGAAUUACGGUGAAAGCCGUAAGCCGCAAGGCAUCUGUGAAGGUGCUGCAUGGUUGUCGUCAGCUCGUGCCGUGAGGUGUCGGCUUAAGUGCCAUAACGAGCGCAACCCUUGUUGUCAGUUACUAACAGGUUCCGCUGAGGACUCUGACAAGACUGCCAUCGUAAGAUGUGAGGAAGGUGGGGAUGACGUCAAAUCAGCACGGCCCUUACGUCCGGGGCUACACACGUGUUACAAUGGGGGGUACAGAGGGCCGCUACCACGCGAGUGGAUGCCAAUCCCAAAAACCUCUCUCAGUUCGGACUGGAGUCUGCAACCCGACUCCACGAAGCUGGAUUCGCUAGUAAUCGCGCAUCAGCCACGGCGCGGUGAAUACGUUCCCGGGCCUUGUACACACCGCCCGUCAAGCCAUGGGAGCCGGGGGUACCUGAAGUGCGUAAAAGGGAGGAGCGCCCUAGGGUAAAACUGGUGACUGGGGCUA